CAGACGCUCGCCACCCGUUGCGCAAAGCACACGCAGACGCUCGCCACCCGUCGUGCAAAGCGCACGCAGAUGCUCGCCACCCGUCACGCAAAGCGCACGCAGACACUCACCACCAGCGCUGCUCACAGAGGCCAGGACACACGCAGACGCUCACCACCAGCGCCGCUCACAGAGGCCAGAAGCACAGACAUCCUUCCGCUGCUGAUGGACAGACUCAGUGCGCUGUCCGCACACAAGCUGAUACUGUUCAGCCAUGAGACUAAUAAAGUGCUGUAUCCAACGCGGGUGAGCCCUGAAAGCUCGGAUAACGACUAGACAAAGAACUGAAAAUAUAAAAUGAGCCUAAAUGUGCCUGGGACCAUUUUGAAACUACUAUAUUAGACCAGCCCAUCACCCACUCCAAUAUUCUUGCCUGGGAAAUCCCACAGCACAGGGUCGCAGAAGAGUCGGACACGACUUUGUGACUAAACAGCAGCAACAAAUCCAGCGCACACAUAAUGGGGGUCACACCCGCAACCUUCGAUGGUCUAGUAGCCAGGUUGAAAAAAGUAAAGCAAACAAGCGAAGUGAACUUGAAUAAUGUGUGUGCUGAAGUGUCGGUGUCCCUGAAUCAGAAGGCGCAGCCACGAACCUUACAGAUCCAUGUUUCUGCGCAUUGACUGAACAACCUUGAAUCAAUCCUAUCCUUCCAUUUCCCAGCAUCCCGAGAACACGCACCAGUGUGCACACACACGUACACACACAUGCACACACAUGCACACCCGGCCCCACGGCAGAUUUGUCUCUGUGAAGAUAUGCCCUAGGGACACACACAGGAAGGGGUGAUCACAAGAUUUUCUAAUAAAUCCUGUGUUUUAAAAGCAUCAAUAAAAAUGAAUGUUUUAAACCCA
Molecule: long non-coding RNA, 890 nt
Organism: Bubalus bubalis (water buffalo)
Lineage: Eukaryota; Metazoa; Chordata; Mammalia; Artiodactyla; Bovidae
Exons: 2
Source: RefSeq, a predicted model, not a curated record